AUACUUAAACCUGGCAGGGGAGAUACCAUGAUCACAAAGGUGGUUUUCCCAGGGUGAGGCUUAUCCAUUGCACUCUGGGUGUGCUGACCCCUUUUCAAUCAAUUAAUUAAUUUAUAAAAAUUAAAUUAAAUUUAA
RNAcentral lists this small nuclear RNA (135 nucleotides) under Microcebus murinus (gray mouse lemur). Its description in RNAcentral is "U1 spliceosomal RNA (ENSMICG00000023301.3)". It matches the Rfam family "U1 spliceosomal RNA". Rfam says of the family: U1 is a small nuclear RNA (snRNA) component of the spliceosome (involved in pre-mRNA splicing). Its 5' end forms complementary base pairs with the 5' splice junction, thus defining the 5' donor site of an intron. There are significant differences in sequence and secondary structure between metazoan and yeast U1 snRNAs, the latter being much longer (568 nucleotides as compared to 164 nucleotides in human). Lineage: Eukaryota; Metazoa; Chordata; Mammalia; Primates; Cheirogaleidae. The record is from Rfam by way of RNAcentral.